This 423-nucleotide ribosomal RNA is filed under the name uncultured bacterium. Its description in RNAcentral is "bacterial SSU rRNA". It matches the Rfam family "Bacterial small subunit ribosomal RNA", at positions 497 to 917 of the family's 1533-position model. The record is from RNAcentral.
CUAACUACGUGCCAGCAGCCGCGGUAAUACGUAGGGUGCGAGCGUUAAUCGGAAUUACUGGGCGUAAAGGGUGCGCAGGCGGUUUUGUAAGACAGAUGUGAAAUCCCCGGGCUUAACCUGGGAACUGCGUUUGUGACUGCAAGGCUAGAGUACGGCAGAGGGGGGUGGAAUUCCGCGUGUAGCAGUGAAAUGCGUAGAUAUGCGGAGGAACACCGAUGGCGAAGGCAACCCCCUGGGCCUGUACUGACGCUCAUGCACGAAAGCGUGGGGAGCAAACAGGAUUAGAUACCCUGGUAGUCCACGCCCUAAACGAUGUCAACUAGUCGUUCGGAGCAGCAAUGCACUGAGUGACGCAGCUAACGCGUGAAGUUGACCGCCUGGGGGAGUACGGCCGCAAGGUUAAAACUCAAAGGAAUUGACGGG